CUAGUCUUUCCCUAAUAAUAAAGCACGAAUUGACUCCGUGGGUUCACUGUCACAAUACGCUUCUUCUCGUGAAUUUACGCUUUCACUUUGAAUUUAAAUAUAUACAUGAGGUGGUACUAAAAAAUCGCUUGGUUCGUCCGUCCGUUUUCCCCUUCUUUUCUCUUUGGUAGGCGUUGGGUCACCCGUCGCCCACCUGGGCCACAGCCCGUAGAAUCCAGACGAGACACGAUGGGAGCCGGCCCAGUCAAUCAAGAGAGGAGGCAAAAACUUCCGCUGAUCGUACUCCCUACUUCGGUAGGUCCUCGAUGGCAUCGAACAGAGCUAGCCCAUUAUUGUGUACAGAAAACUGAUUUGAACUGCUAUCAAAAGUACCACCUCGCUUUGUUAUGUCCCAUCAUACCAAUUUAUAUAGGUCAUUGAAUUAAAAUUCGUAAGAAGCCUCGAGCGUACAUGGAUCAACAUGAGAUACAUCUUUGAGAUGAAAAGCGGAUGCAAACGACCUGGCUAGGGUAUUCGUCAUCCUCGCAACACCAGCAUCCGCCGUCACCCCGCCCGCCGGUCGCCGUCAAUAGCAUCAGAUGCUUCCGGUGAGCGGCCUUGCAUCGGAUGCUUCUGGCGAGCAACCCCGCGUGGCUGGCGCUCCCGCCGGCGACCAGCCUUGCUUUUGCAGCCGCCCCAUUGUUGCUACCCCCCAUACGAGAGAGUCGCGCGAGAACGCUCGCCGCUGCUGCAACUUCUCGCCGCCGUCAGCUAAUUUCCGUCAAACACACCAUGGCUGGAUUUGUGCUUGCAGAGAGAGCAUGGUUGUUGCUGGAUAUGGCGCGAGCUUGCACAAGCCUUGGCGGUGGCUCUUGCUUGCGCAUCAGUGGGGUUCCAGAGAUAAGGGGAGAGAAGGGAGGAAGGAAAUUGGGGAUGACGGGGACAAGAAGGGACGGCUAUGAAGAUAAGGUCGACGAGGGACAGUGGUGCGUGCGCCAGACGACACGCAUCACCCGCGCGAGACGACUGGUGGGACAAGCCUAUGGCCGCUUUUCGCGCAAAAAAAGUGUACGGCCGCUUGAAAACAAGCAAUUCCCGUAGGAUAGGAUUAGAUUUAGCUAGAUUUGGUAAUACUCCUAUAUAAC
RNAcentral lists this ribosomal RNA (1124 nucleotides) under Triticum aestivum (bread wheat). RNAcentral's name for it is "partial small subunit ribosomal RNA". Lineage: Eukaryota; Viridiplantae; Streptophyta; Magnoliopsida; Poales; Poaceae. The record is from RNAcentral.